Molecule: ribosomal RNA, 66 nt
Filed under: Myxococcales bacterium 68-20
Lineage: Bacteria; Pseudomonadati; Myxococcota; Myxococcia; Myxococcales
Description: partial 16S ribosomal RNA
Rfam family: Bacterial small subunit ribosomal RNA
Source: RNAcentral
UUCAACUGGAGAGUUUGAUCCUGGCUCAGAACGAACGUUAGCGGCGCGCCUAACACAUGCAAGUCG